UAGAAUCUAGGCGAUGGAGCUCGCCAUAACCGCCGUCCGGCGAUCGCGCUAAAAUUUGCGCCGACCUUUUUUCUAAACUGGCUUUGGACUGGCUGAUGGCUCCUACUUGUUU
RNAcentral lists this non-coding RNA (112 nucleotides) under Geitlerinema sp. PCC 7407. RNAcentral describes it as "Fluoride riboswitch aptamer (crcB RNA motif)". It matches the Rfam family "Fluoride riboswitch aptamer (crcB RNA motif)". RNAcentral also lists the same sequence under 1 other name. The record is from Rfam by way of RNAcentral. Lineage: Bacteria; Bacillati; Cyanobacteriota; Cyanophyceae; Geitlerinematales; Geitlerinemataceae.